GUUUGAAUACUCAGAUCUAGAUUUGCUUACUCUUGACCUUGAUUCUUUUUGAUUCAAGCAUGCCGUCAAAUUUUGGUUUGCAAGAGAAGCCCAAACUUUCUAUUAGGUUUCAUUAGGAAAAUGAACAGGAGUUAAGAAGGGCUGAACUUUGUUGUGCACCUCUGACAGAGAUUUGUUCUUAAGCACAAACUUGCAUGAGUUAUGGUAAAGAAAUACAUAUUUGGAUAUCAACUUUGCACCUAGCUGACCUUUCCUUUAGAUCAGCCUGAAUUUAGAUUGAUACAGGUUGUCUCAGCUGACUCUAUGAUUGUGUUUGGCAAGUCAUGCUAAAAUAAAAUAGUCACAUAAAGUUCUAGCAUAAUGUACAAUGAUAACGUGACAGUUAAUGCAUAGUAAAUUGAGAAGAAAAGAUUUAAGUUGGAAAAUAGGAGUGGAUGUUGGUAUGUGUUAUCAUAUUAUAGAAGGGGACCUGUGAGACCUAGAACUGAAUGCAAAAGUGUUCCGUUAAUUAUCCAGAAUAUAUUCUGGUACAAUAACAAUGAUUCGGGUGCCUAAUAUGCACUAACAGUGAUUACUAAAGUCUUCCUCUUGCACUGCUAAUACUUUAGGAUGAUAUCAUAAUGUAUCUUUUCUUUGCAGGUGGUGAAGCCUAGACCCUUGCAGGCUGCAAGCAUCCCUGGGCUGCUUGGAAUGUUCCAAAAUGUAGGCGUCUUAAACUCUCUGAUUUUGAUAUGACCAGUUCUUGUCAUCAUGUUUUAAAAGGAUAGUAUUUUUUAUAAAAAAUUUUAUUCCUACUAAAUACUAAGAAAUUCUCGCUGUGAUAAUUUGGAGUUUGUUGAUGAAUUUAUUUUCUGCUUCCAAAAGAAGACUUCAUAUCUUAGACACAAAUUUUUCUUCUUGAGCUUGAGUGUGAUAUUUUGAUGGAUUUGAAUUUGUAUUUGGAGUUGAUGCCAAUAUGGCAGUUCAUCAGGUCAUUUAGGGAGCUUGUGUGCUACUAAAUCGUGAUAUGUAUAAUUUGGCAUGCUUUCUAAAAUUACAAAUUGUGGUUGCAUAAUAUCAAAUUUUGGUGGUAUUACUGCAAUUUAGAUAAGCCCUAAGAUCGUAAAUUGAAAUUUUAUGAUAAAAUGUGGUAGUGUCUUCCAAAUUUUGUUCGGAGUUCAUGCCAUAUGGCAGUUUAUUGUGUCAUUAGGGUAAGCUUGGGUGUGCUUCUAAAUCAUGAUAAUUAUAAUUUGACAUGCUUUCUAAAGUUACAAAUUGCAGUUACAUAAUGUCAAAUUCUGGUAGGAUACUGUAAUUUAGACAAGCCCUAAGGUCGUGAUGCCAUAUUUCUCUAUUGUUACCAUCUUAUGCUUUUCUGUUUUGUAAUCUGCUUCUUCUUCUUCUUCUUCAUCAACAACCAAACUUCUCCUAGAAGGUCACAACUCUCAAAAUUCAAAUUCUUUAGAUGGGGAAAGAGGAUUAAAAUCAUGAUUUUAAAUUUAAAGGUCUCGAAAGAUAGCCCUAGAAAUGAUUAUAUCCAGAAGCAGAUCUUGAAGACUGCAUGUUUCAUCGCGAGCCAUGCAGUGGAGAACAUGUUUCACUUGCUCAGCAAACCUAAGUUACUUCUCAGUGAUGGAUGGGAGAGCAUUAUCAAUAGUCAUGCUCUUUUUGUUAGCUAAAAUUGUUUUAAUUCUAGCCCUAAGCAUGCAAGUAAAAAAAUGCCAACAUUUUAGCCUACAAGGUUACAUUUAGUAGAAUUGCAAUUUUUAACAGAUGUACUAAAAUCAUUUGAACAUUUAGAUGCCUGAGUUGUUUGUGUUUUCCUUCACAGUUAAAAGUAAAAAAAGGCCCAUCGAUUUAUACCUCAAUCUUAUUUAUUUAUUUUACUUAAACAUAUAUAAAAUGAUAAAGGCAUAUUCACCCUAGAAGUUAUUUAUUCCGAUGAUUUGAUCUGGAUGUCGGGCUUUCUGUAACAUACUCUAAAUACAUUGUUUAAGUUUAUCCACAUGGAUGUGUCACAUCACUUAUUCAAUGAUAUAGAUAUUGAACUAUGUAAUGCCCUUACAGCAUAUGGAACGCAAAUAAGAUGCAAUCAAUGAGGUUUUGGUCAUUCCACUAGAUAUAGGAAGGUGUAAUGGAGCAAUGCAUGUAAAAGUUAAAUUAUACUGGUUUACCCAGAAAAAGAGGUUAAAUUGUGCUAUAACAGAUAGUAUGAACCUUUUUUUUAAUGUUUCUGGUGUUAAUUAAGCAUUACAAUCAUUAAUUUAUGCCAUCUUUCUGGAAAAGCAAAUAAUAUAACAUUAAAUUUGAGUAAGAGGUAAAGUUUGGAGAGGAAUACUUUUCCCAUCAACAAUGCAUGAAACACUGAAACACAACAAAUUACAGUGUUGCUCUUUUGGAAGACAUUGCUAUCUGAAUUCUAAUCAAUCAAGAAGCAGUAUUAUUUUUGCAUGUUACUGAGAUUUCAAUUUGGAAGUAAUGAUUAACAUAGGAGAAACCUGUAAUGUUCAAGGUCCAAUGAGCCAUCUUUUAGAGAAUGACUAGGCGCGUUGUGUCAUGCACAAUCUACAUCAAUCACAUCUUCAUUCUGCUAAUUAAUUUGCAGUGAAAUAGUAGGUGACUAUUGAAUUUAUAAAUUAAGCUGCAUAGAGAGAGCAUUUCUCCACUUCAAUCCCUUUAUUUGCUAUUAUGGUGAUUAUCAAAAGCUCAGUGCUUCAAGUAAAUGCCUUGAUUAAGUCAAACCGGUUGAUGCCACUUCUUCAUCUGGUUACUGCAUCUUUUGUGCUUGAAGGAUUGAAAUAAGGAACUAGCAUCCAAAGCCCAUUUAGCCUCUAAAUCCAGUCUUAGUAGUUGGAACAUCCAUUUAUUUUCUUGGCCAUGCAAGCAGGGUCAAGAGCUGUGUUCCUUCCCUACAAAGUUAUUAUUUAACAUGGCUCCACACCUCCCCACCAUUUGCUUCACACCAGAAUUCUCUUGCCAAAGGCACCUAAGAUAAUGAUGCCACCAUCUACCAAUCUGCAAUAUCAUAUAAUUCUGCCUACCUGUAGUAAACCUUAACACAUGCUCAAAACAGGCUCCAAAAAUAGUAAAGGUUUCAAACUUUCUAUACCCAUCCAAAAAUUCAUACCGAGAUAAUACCAAUUUAUAGUAGCGACUCUUCUAAAAUCUUACCUCAUCAUCAUCUAUUCUUCUAAUUAUUUACCUAGCAAAAGUCUUGUUCUUAUUCUUUGAAUUCCAAACACCAUUCCAAGUACCAAUCCCUCUUUCUUUCUAUUGUGACUUUAUUCCGUUAAUCCAUGGAAAUUACUAUAUAUCCGCUCUAGCUUGAAAUUAAUGGUUUUCAUGGUUAUGAACAGAAAGAAAGUACAAUUUUGGAGAAUCAAGAAAAUGGUUACUCUUAUCUUACUUUUAGAAGAGGGCAGUGGACUCUUACACCCUGCUAGUUUUUUCUUUUAUCAAAAUGCUCCAAGAUGAGAUCCCGAUGCACCUGUGGCUUCUGUAACAUCAACAAGAAAACCAAAUAAUUAGAAGGUGAUGUACUAUUCACAUCUGCAAAUUUACUCCAAUAGCCAUAUGACUCUUGCCUGCACUAAGCCCAAGCCAGGUGCUUUUGUUAAGGUUGAUUCUAAGAUUAGGUCACAGAUUCAAAAUAAAAUAGGUUGCGGUUAUAUCUUAGUGGAUUGGUAAAGAUGACAUCUCAAAAAAUAAGUUAAGAGUUGGCGUAGAGUACUGUCUGACCUAAAAAACUUUACUCAAGGUUGAGUAAAACAGAAGUAGGAUCCUUUUGCUUCAUACUCUCCGAGUUCUUAAGGAUGCCUUUCUAGAAAACUACAUAAAACUAAUUCUGAGAUAUUUAUCAGUUAUAUUUUGAUCUUUUUUGGGAGGUUUUACAUUUUGGUGGCCAUUGAAGAUCUCCCUUUGUACUGGCCUCUAAGAUGCUUCAUUUUUUCCCUUAUUCCCUUUAAUCCUUUUCAUAUGAAGUCAACUUUAGGAAAUAAUUGGGGAUUAUGGAAUCAAUAGCAAUUACAUAAAGUGGAUGUAGCUGGCAUUAGGAAAUUUAGAAGCUGAGAAAUUAACAAUUAUUAUUUUUUGAAAGUUUGGUUGCAUGGGCUAGUUGGGACCUGGGUGUGGUUAAUGUCAGGAGCAAGAUUUGAAGUCCUCCUCCUCGUCUGCCUCCUUUGUUAAAGUAUGUUUUGGCUUCUCCUGGAAUUACACUAUUUGUCUUGUAACUAGGCAUUGAAUAAAACUUAUCAAAGUUGGCAGAAAACAAUUCAAGCUAACUCUGGAAAACAAAGGCUCGUUUCACUCGAAUUUAAAGGCUGAAUUAUCAUCCCAAAAAAAUGUGUGAUCUCUAUCAGCAUACGAAUGUUAGCCAUUUUCAUGUGCAGCGGUUGCCUUGCAAGCAUUGUGCAUAUAUGCAUUCACAAUGAAACCAUUCUAAACAUAUGAAGCUCAUCUUGCCUCAUGUAGAUCAAUGCUUACGUGAGUGCAGGCUGCUAUUGUGGUUAUACAGCAUUUGUAGGUAGGAUGUGCUUGUCUUAUUUUGACAUUUCCAUAUAUUUUUCCUUUUUUUUUUGAAUUUACAAAUAGAAAGUAAAGAGUUAUUUCUGCUAUAACAUUGACAUGGGGUGCUAAUGCUUUUAGGCUGUAUUUUGUGUAACAAGUCAAUCUAGAGGAAAAAGGUUAUUCCUCCUAACCCUCUUUACUUCAGAAUUAACUAUUCCAAGCUGUAGCGUGGAAUAAUUUACUCCAAGUUAAGUGGAAAAGUAGCUGUCAAGUUUUUAAAUUAUCUAUUUUGUCCUCAAUAAAUUGGUAGCUGUUCUAGCGUUUUGUGGGUUAAAGUGGAAUAGAAGGGUUAAAGAAGCCUUUCCACCUUUUGUUCCAUUUAACCUCUCUUUAGGCAACAACAAAAUGCAGACUUAAGGAAUACAUCUUUGGUUAAUGAAUGUUUUGCCACAUAAUAGCUCAUAUAGCUUUUUGCAACCUCCCUAUGCAGCAUGGUUUUAUGUGAUAAGUUCAAUGGCUCAUUGAGGAUGAGAGACUGAAGCAGAUUUUAUUUUAUUUUAUUUUAUUUUAUUUUUUACAACCUUAAACAAGAUGAGCAUAUUGCAUCUCCAUGUGAGUAAUGCUAAAUGGUGGAAUAAGCCAACAAUGUUCUCAACUGACUUUUGGCCUUAAACCAUAGCUAGUCUUAUCACAAAAUGAGAACAACAUCCUGUGCUAUUCAUAUUUAUAUAUAAUUAAAACCGGGUCUAUGAUCAAUAGAUUCAAUACCAACCGAGAAACUGCAAGUUAGUGUUCUUUAGACCAAGAAGGUUUGGAAUUCAUGAUUUUGUUUGGAUGCAUAGACUUUGGAAGAUAUUAUUAAGGAGUGUGACCCUACUGAAAGGAAUCGGAACAUUACAAGCAACAGCAAGGCUCCAAUAUGGAGACAUUGAAUCUUAUUUUUGGUCUCAUAGUAACUUGAUAUGGAAUUUAUUAUGCCAUUAUCUUUCCACCUUAUAAUGUGGAAGACUGGACACCUACUCAAAAGAGCAUUGUGAUUAACAUACAGAGGUAUGUGUAAACCAUGAUAUGGUGGGAUAUUAGAUAUUUGCAUGAGAGAUCACUUAAAUUUUGACAAUUUCUGGCUGGAUGUAAAUAGUAUGCCACACUAUAUGAUUUGGAAUAUUGGCCUUUUGGGUUGAGGGAUUUAAAAGGCAACCUUCUUAUGUAGUUGAGCACAUAGUUUCUCAUAAUGCGGUUCUACUUUUUUAUUUCUUCCUUCUUUCUAAUUUCUGCUUUUUCUUCCACAAGGACAAUGUAUUUACCACUUUUGAUGUGAUAACAUAUUAUUAAUUGAAAAAUGGCUUUCCAAGAAGAAUGAAGAGGAUAUGAUCUUCAACCUAGCUUGAGUUUAGAAUGUAUUUUUUCUGUAUGCUCCAAUGGCAAUUGAAACAUGGAAGAUCACUAAUGAAUUUUUUUCCUGAUAUUCUGGAACCUGAAAGAUCAAGGACAAUUCUGCCUUUUAAUUUUUCUGAAAGCUUGCUUUAGAUAUUGAAACUACUGAUCAGGUAAUCAUGUUCGGUAAGUGUUAUGGCUGUGAUAAUCCAUAUUGUUUGUUCACCAUAAUAUCUGUAUCUUUGGAUCUUCAUUUUGCUUAUGUAAGGUUAUAUGCUUUUAAACAAUUUUAACUUUUGGUCUGCUGAUGCUAAUUUAGCUACCAGUUGUCUAGAUUUAACUCUAUAAUUUUCUCAACCCUUAUUUCCAUCUAUGGAUGGCAGGAGUGGGAUGCUUUGAUGCUCUCCAAUUUUGCUCUGGAACAGCAGUUGCAUACAGCAAGGCAAGAGCUAAGUCAUGCCCUAUACCAGGUAUUAAUUAAUUGCAUUAUUUUGUUUUUGUGAUUAGCGGCAUAUUCUGGCACUGAAUAUAGCCCUUCUAUGUUCUAUUCUGCUUGGUAGCAGUUGAUGUUAGAGGCAAAUGACAUUUAGUUUUGCCUUUAUCUUUGAUAUAGUAUAUCUACUUUAGUUUGAAGUCUUUUUUGUGUUCUCUAGUUUGGUCUGUGCAAUCUUUAAGAAAUCUUUUAUUAUCAUGAGUCACUUCAAUUUCUUCCUUUGCAUUUAUUUUCCAGCACGAUGCUGCAUGCCGUGUUAUAGCAAGACUAAAGAAGGAAAGGGAUGAGGCCAGAAUUCUCUUGGCUCAGGCUGAAAGACAGAUUCCGUCAUCUAUAGCAUCUGCUGCUAAUGCAAACAAUAUUGUCAGCAAUGGGAAAAGAGGUUUCUGUUAUUUGCUGUGUUGUAAUUGAGCUUUGGUGGUACAGCAGGAAUUGGUUCCAUAUCUUAAGAAUUUGCUUUAUUGUACUUGUAGCUGCAGAAGAGGAGUUAGGCCCUGAUGGGAAGAGAAUUCGUCCAGGUAUAAAUCCUGCUAUGAUUGCAGAACUUACAGAGUGUAAUGCUAUGCUUUCAGGACAGCGGAAGAAGCGGCAGGUAGUUAUUCUUUUGCUAUGCAACUCUAGCAGCUCUCUUUUUCAUCAUUAUUAGCCAACAUUAUGGCAUCUUGAUUUGUAGAAGAAAUGGCUGGAACCAAACUUUAUUGAUAGAAAUGGAGCACAAAGAUAUGAGCACACACAUGCACAUGGAUUGGGGGUGGGGGGGGGGGAUCCCAAGGGAAGGAGGGAGCAAGGGAGUGGUUGUAUAUUAAUAUUGCUGGAUGAGAGGGGGAGAGAGAGAGAGAGAGUGAUUGUAUAUUAAUAUACUGGAUGAGGGAGAGAGGGAGAGAGGGAGUUGUUGUAUAUCAAGGGUGUGACUUUUUACAGUUGCUUCUUAAUUGCUACAAUUUGAUCCAUAUCUUGUGUUUGCUAGAUUUCACCAACAUUGGCACCCAUUGAUGCGCUGGAGAGAUACACACAAAUCUCUAGCCAUCCCCUUCACAAGACUAACAAGCCAGGCAUUGUAUCUGUCGAUAUCCAUCCUUCAAAGGUACACAUUAAUAAUUUUCUGUUCUCUGACCUAUUAUCAUGCUUUUGUGUGUCCUUGUGUGAACAAUGUAUGCAUGUACUAUGUUUCUGCACACACCCAUGCAUGGUAACAGACUUCUUGUGCAUGGGGAAAGGAUUGUGCAUAGCCAUGUGGAUGAAAAGGUGAAACAUUAUGUGACCUGAUACGGCAAUUAUCUGACAUGAGGAAAGGGUUUUCACUUUUUGGACUUGUCCUCUAGUCUAAAAAGCUUUUUUUUUUGGGAUAAGAUCCACAAGUUUGCAUUUGGGCUUAAAAUGAUCGGAGCUGUUCAUGAGUAGCUCAAGCUUUGCUCAAUUGCAUGGAUUGAUCUAGCUUGUUCGGUAAGGAAAUGAGCCAAGCUCAAAAUCAUUGAGAGCUUGACUCACAGAUGACAAGCUUGUUCAGUUAACAGAUGAGCGAAGCUUGAACAGAUGUUGCCAAAGCUCAGCUUGGGCCCAAUAGUCCUUUUAUAAUAAUAAGCACAGGUGAGCUCCUUAGUACUUGGCUCGGCUUAUGUUUUUUGCGGUGCUGCUUUGAAGUGGCCAGAGCUAUUCUGCAUAAUCUGACAGAUACUUUGUAGACAGAUACCAUGUUGUUUUUAGGAAGUCUUUAGAAUAACGACCAGCAUCACAUAUGUAUGAUAAAGCUUGGUGGUUAUGUAGUUUGUUAUUUCCUUUGGAAGAGAAAUCAUAUUUUUUUGAAAAUUCAUGUUAUUACUUUCACAUUGCUAAUGUUUAUUGAAUCUCAGAAUAUGCAUGAAUAGUGCAAGGACACGAGAUGACUAGGUUUAUUGUUUGUUAUUUUCCUUAUUAUAUAUGUAUGUGUGUGUAUGCGUGUAUAUAUGUAUAUAUAUAAUGUAUUAAAUAUACAUAUAUAUGUUUGUGUACCACUGAGAAAUAUAAAUUGCAUGCUUAAAUUUUCUUUUUUAAUAUUUUAAUUGGGCAGAAAUGUAUUGAGAUUUUACCUAUGCAUAUCAUGCAUAUAUGUAUUGAGAUGUCACCUAUGCAUAUUAUCUAUAUAUUCCAUACACAGUGUUCGGUGAACAUUAAAAGAAAUAUGAAACUUCACAGAAUAAUGGUUUUUCCAUUUCAUUUUGUUGGAUGUAAAAAUUUUUGUGCAUAGUUUUAUGAAUAUAGCUGCCAUUUUGAAAAAAAAUAUUACGUACAUUUUGUGAUUGGAAUUUGAGAAGUCUGCAUGUCUCAUUUGAAGCAUUUUCCUAAAUGAUUAACAGGAUAUAAUUGCAACUGGAGGGAUUGAUACAAAUGCAGUAGUUUUUGAUAGGUCAGCAGGUCAGAUCAUAUGUACACUCACUGGCCACUCAAAGAAGGUUUAUGCUUUCAUCUUUCAUCCUCCUGUAUCUAUUACAGCGAUCUUUCUUUAUUUUCUUCGAUUUUUUUAAUCCUUCUAAUAUCAUUGGUAUUUUAACUGAAAUUUUAGGUUACCAGUGUGAAAUUUGUACCUCGAGAUGAGCUUUUUAUUUCUGGAUCGGGAGAUAAGGUUAGUCGUCAGCUAAGCAUCUUGUUGUUGUUGUUAUUGUUGUUGAUUACCUAAGCAUCUGUUACCCUAUAUGUUACUGAUUCGGUUUCAUAUUUCAUUAGCUUGCUGAAGGAUUCUCAUUUGUUGUCUAUAGGAAAUUACUCUGCUUCAUGGCUAUUUUUGGAGAGCUUAAAUAUAAAAUUAGUUUCUUAAAUAUGGGCUGCGAUUCAAGGAAUUUUGUCCUUCAUGUUGGCGUUUAUAUUAAUACAAACCUCAGUGACUAGCUUAUUUUUUCUGCAAGUGAGAUAACAAAAAUAGGGGUUUUAUACUAACAUCUUCUUUAUGAGGGAAUAAGCUAAAUCUCAGCAUUAUCACAGAAUCAUGAUUACAGAGCUUACAUGACUUCAUCUUAUCUAUGAUGAGCCAUUUUAAGGCAAACCUUUGGCAUUUUAAGUAUGCAAGCUGGUGUCAUUCAUGUGAAACGUCAUUGAUAGAUUGUCACAUUUUUGUAUUAAAUUAAAUCCUUGCUUUAAUGCAUGAUUUCAAACCUGGCUUAAACAAACUGCCAACAAUGCAAAAAAAUAGCAGUGUUGAAAUCAAUUUUAUUUUAAUGACUUAUUUCUCCUCAAGCACUUAUGCUACAUUAAUUUGCAUUGAUUAAGUUUAGUUCUUUACUUGUUACAAUCAACAUUGCUCCAUUAUAUGUCUUCUCAUAACUGAAAGAAUUGGUUUAUUGUUGAUUUCCCUUCACUGUAUAUUCCCCUUUAUCAUUAUAUAGUCCCUUUCCUAUCAUUGUGUGUACCUUUCAUAAAUAUUGCAGCAAUAAUGGAUGGAGGGGGUGCUUUGGUUUAGGUAGGCGCAUAGAGGUUAAGGUGGCCCAAUAAUAAUAAAUUCCGAAAAGUAAUAAAUAUAAGGAGAAUCCUAGAAACGUGGUUAUAACCCAAGGAAAGAUGUGGCAAGUCAACGAAAAUAUCGAGCGAUAUCAAAAUUGAUUCAUAAAUUGAUCUCAUCCUCCACAUGGAAACAUGAUACAGAAUGUCAGGUGGGUCCUCAAGAAGCUGUUUUUAGAACAUUGGGCACAAACUAUCAUUCUAGUUUGUUCCCUCCUUCUGUUGAUGGAAUUGGAUGGUUUAUAUAUAUAUAUAUAUAUAUAUAUAUAUAUAUAUAUAUAUACUACUAUANNNNNNNNNNNNNNNNNNNNUUAUAUAUAUAUAUAUAUAUAUAUAUAUAUAUAUAUAUAUACACCUAUGUAUGUAUGAAUAUACAUACAUAUGUAUAUGCAUAUUAAAACAUCAAGGCAUUAUUGUCACCAUAUGAAAUUCAUAUAGCACUUUUUAGGCUGAGAAUUAACAUCCUGAAAUUAUCAACAAAAUGAUGGUGGGACAUGUUCAUCCAACAAACUAGAAUGGUUAUAUGGCCUAGACUAUGAAGCAGAAAAUUGAAAAAGGAUAGCAGUAUUGGCAGUUUUUUUUUAAAAAAAAAUCAGUGUGUAUUUGUGUGCCUGAAUGCAUGUUCUUGUGGGUGGGCAUGUUGCAAUGAGGGGCUGGUAGGUGGGAAUGUUGGUGAUUUUCAGAGGUGAUAUAUGUGGUCUUUCUGCUUUUGCUUGUUUGGUUGGCGGAAUAUAUUCUUAUGUAUGGUGGGUGGUUCUCAUAGUCGCCCUCCAACUGGUUAUUGCCCCCAGCCAAUUAGAUGGCAAGCUCCUUUGCUUCAGAGAGGUGGCUAUAGUAGGGGUAUGAAACCUGACUUGGAUGCCAACUUGGUUUGGUAGCUAGGUCAUGGAUUAGGGUUCAAUUGCAAUUAGCCAAACAGUGUAGAACCUUGUAUUUCUCUUUUCCUCCCACAAAUAGAAAUCACCUUCCCCCCAAAAAAUAGACCAUCUUGACUUCUCACCACAAGUCUGCAGCUAGCGAACUACCCAUCUAGACAUCAGUGGUCAACAACCAGUGGAGCUACCUACCUACCUACCUACCUCCUUCAUGCAGGUAGCUAACUAGUAGUGGACGAAGACUUAAGAGAAGAAUGUGACUCUAUAAGGCAACUUAAAAUCAUAUCUACCUCCUUCCCCCAGACCAGAGAUUGCCUUUCUCCAAAAAAAAAUAGAGUUCGCCUCAAUUUCUUGUUUUAGGUUGACAACUAGGGGGUCUACCCGCAUCCUCAUUGUUAAUGGCUGAUAGCAGUUGGUGAAGACCUAAAAAAUGUCUAAGGCUGUGUGGCAGGACUAUUCUUCCUAUUGACCGAUAACCUCUCUUUGGGUGGUCAAGAUGGAUAGAGGGAAGUGAGACGGGGACAUAGAGGAAAUUGGGCGUUUCAGCCUUAUCCUAGAAACAGUGACAAAAGCAGCAGCUGCGUUGGUGUUAGAUAAGGGACAUAGAUGAGAUUAAAGUGCAAAUCAAAGAGAAAGGGUCAACAUUUUAGGACUUAGGGAUUGAACUAGAGAUGUGUAUCUUCCCCUUUUUUUUUCAAUACUUUAACCUGUGUGGUUUAGGUGAGGGAUUCAACAUUGAGCGGUCUGCAUGCCUAAACAAAUUUGUUUGACGGUUCAAGCAGGCUUUCCCCACUUUCAAUAUUGGACCUAGGUGACAAGUCCGAUGUCUCAACCUAGAUAGGUCAAAUAACAUUGGGUUGAGUCGUUUAUUUUUUUUAAAGGUUGUCAAAUUGCCUAGGUGAGGUCAAGUGGUGGACCCCUAUAUGACCUAGGCAAUCACUUAGGUGCUUAAGCAGCUGCAUAGGGAGGAAAGUCUUCCAAGGAAGGUUUGUCGUACCUAUUUAUUAUCAUUUUGUACUGGAUGUACCGUACUGGUAUUGAACCAGUAUGCAGUCUCUUAUCGUACCGACACUUAGUAUGCCUCGCCAUCUCGUACCGUACUGUAUAUUAACAUUCUAAUAGAAUGGUAUUGGUAUGAGAUCCGUACCAAGAUGGCAAAUUUUGCUUCCGAGCUUUUAUUUGAAGUACCUUCAAUCACAUGUAAGAAUAAGGUUGUAAAUAUAUCAUAUAUAUAUAUAUAUCCUGUUUUCACUAAUAUAGGUAUCAUAAAACCUAUUUUUCACACUUAGAAAGUUCAAACAACAGAAUCCAUAAAAAGAGAAUAGCAACAACAUUGUUGCCCUUACAACAACUAACAGGUCUCAGAACAUGGCCAACACCUAGCAAGAAGCAAGAGGAGGGUUGGAAGCAGUAGCAGCAGGAUGGGCCACAACAAACAAACAUAAAAAAGGAACAACCAGAACAAAAUGGAAAAAUUAGGGGAAAAGGGAAAAAUGGUGAGAUGAAGAAUGUGUAGGAGUAGAAGAAAAUGAGAAAGAAAAUUUAGAAAGAGAAGAAGAUGAGGAUUGAUCUAAGGAAGAACAAAGGAAAAAAUAUACACAAACUUGGUGCUAGUGCUUGGCCACUACAUCCAUCAUUGCAACUUGGGGCUGCUGAUUGACCUAUUGGUAGUUGUUGAUAAGUCCACUGGUUGCUACAAGGUUGAUAGUAGCCUUCACUGCCCUCUUUCAUUUUUCAUCUGGAGGUUUAAACAAGGAAAAAACAGGAAGAAAAAAAACCUUAAAGCAGCAAGGUUUAAGUGGUCUUGGCCUGGCGGCGUAGCCAAAUUAAGCGCCUAGGCGUGCAGGUGGCCAUUUUUGACAGCAAUAUUGUUUUUUAAAGAAAGGGAAUGAGAUCCACUAGCACUAAAGUUAUUCAGGUCUAAAUGCUUGGGGGUCACCAUUCAAUAAUCAAAACCAGAACAUCUGUUUUUUAUAAGAAAUGCAGUGUGACCAUUGGGACCAGCCCCCGGUCACUUCUGUUGUUUAGGGAAUCUUUCUUUUACAUUAGUUGAUUCAAGCCUUUUGCAGUCCACUUCAUCCCCGCCCCCUCUCUCGUGUGCCUUUCUCUGGUGUCGUCAUCAUCUCUCUCUUGUAGUGCUUGUCUUCAACUUUCUAUUUCCUAAUCAAUAAUGCAAACAGUUUAAGAAGGCAAUAACGUUCUGUUGCAUGGGCAUGCUUCCAAACAUAUAUGCACAUAGUGAAAGUCCUCUACACUGGUGUGGUUAAUUAUCUAGUUUUUGGAUCCUCUAUCGACUUCAAAAGCUAAAUACUGGCGAAAAUCCACCGCUAUUUUCGUUAUUGUUCGAGUAUAUUUCACAAACAGAAUAUGUGUAACUUAUGCUGCACAUUCCAAAAUGGCCAUGUUUAUGGAAUAAUGUAACUAUAAGCUGUGCUUCAGAAAGAGUAAACUGUAAAAUACUAUUUAAAGUUGCAAAGUUCAUCAUCUAGCGUGGGAUAUAUCACAAAAAAAUGGAAACAUGAUGUUGCAUAUAAUUUUAGAAGAUUUGUAAACACUGAAGAUUGUCAGUUCUGAGUUGAACUGCUUUAUAUUCUGCUGCAGACUGUUCGUGUUUGGCAAGGGACUGAAGAUGGGAAUUAUAAUUGUCGACAUAUCUUGAAGGACCAUAGUGCAGAGGUAUCUCAGUUCCAGAAACUUGUUUCGUUGCAAAAUAUUUGGGUGUUGUAUGUUCUUUUUCCUAAUAAAAGUGGUGAUAAAUGACAAUCCCGUUUCAUGCAAGAAAUCUUUACUUUUUAAACAUGACUGGCAUUUCAAUAAUUUGAAAAGUUCAUAUUAGCUAAAGUUAUAUAAUUAAAUAGGUGAUUAAUGGCUUGUUGCUUAUCUUUGAAAUUAAGAUUUCUUCUAUAUCAUCAUUUUCCAUCAUAACUAUAUGCUGUUUCUGUAUAGAUAUGAGGAAUUAAUCGCGUCGUUUUUGUCCUCAACGAAAAAAAAAACACUUAAAUUGCAAUAUGGUAGUCCCUAUAUGUUGAGUUGUUCGUAUUUUACUAUGGCUAUGCUAACUGUUUGGUUGAAACUGCUCUUGACAUGAUUCCCUAUGGUCUUGUUAAUAUCGAAUCUUCAUGUGCUAACUUGCUGCAAGAUUUGUGUUGAAGAUAAUUUGUGAGACCAAGUCUCACAUGGAAUAUUAUCUGCAAUCUUUCAGAGAGGGUCACACAAAGUAGAGGCAUUUUGCUUCCAUUCCCUAGGCGCUAGUCACUAUUUCCCCUCUAUUUACUGCAUUUCUUUUUCUCAAAGAAACAUUUCUAUUUACCAUCUAAAAGUCUGAAAAUGUGAAAGACCAGUUGAAACAUAUGUCUAUGUAUGUGAUAUUGAUAUACAAGUUAUUUAUUGCUAUGCCACAUAAUCGGUAUCGACCUCCCACCAGAAGAUGUUUGUAGAAAUAAGAAUGAAGCAAAUUUUAGGAGAAAUAAUUCAACGAUCUGAUCAAUUAACUGCUGGAUUAAAAAUCACUUCUUACAAUACCCGGCAUUGACCAUAAUUUACAAGAACAUUCUGUAGUAUUAAUAAGAGGAGGAAGAAUUAAAGAUUUACCCGGUGUGGAUGUCACAUUAUUCAAGGAACCCUAGAUACUGUUUGAGUGGAGGAUCGUGAACAAGGGUGCGAAGAUAGUUUGCUUAGUUGUAGAGGUAUGACUAUACAGAAUUUGCUG
RNAcentral lists this long non-coding RNA (14404 nucleotides) under Phoenix dactylifera (date palm). RNAcentral describes it as "long non-coding RNA (PDAC_LNC003713)". The record is from RNAcentral. Lineage: Eukaryota; Viridiplantae; Streptophyta; Magnoliopsida; Arecales; Arecaceae.